Molecule: ribosomal RNA, 497 nt
Filed under: uncultured bacterium
Lineage: Bacteria
Description: partial 16S ribosomal RNA
Rfam family: Bacterial small subunit ribosomal RNA
Source: RNAcentral
GACGAACGCUGGCGGCGUGCCUAAUACAUGCAAGUAGAACGCUGAAGAGAGGAGCUUGCUCUUCUUGGAUGAGUUGCGAACGGGUGAGUAACGCGUAGGUAACCUGCCUUGUAGCGGGGGAUAACUAUUGGAAACGAUAGCUAAUACCGCAUAACAAUGUAUGACACAUGUCAUUUAUUUGAAAGGGGCAAUUGCUCCACUACAAGAUGGACCUGCGUUGUAUUAGCUAGUAGGUGAGGUAAUGGCUCACCUAGGCGACGAUACAUAGCCGACCUGAGAGGGUGAUCGGCCACACUGGGACUGGGACACGGCCCAGACUCCUACGGGAGGCAGCAGUAGGGAAUCUUCGGCAAUGGGGGCAACCCUGACCGAGCAACGCCGCGUGAGUGAAGAAGGUUUUCGGAUCGUAAAGAUCUGUUGUAAGUCAAGAACGGGUGUGAGAGUGGAAAGUUCACACUGUGACGGUAGCUUACCAGAAAGGGACGGCUAACUACGUG